GCCGGGCGUGGUGGUGGGCACCUGUAAUCCCAGCUACUUGGGAGGCUGAGGCAGGAGAAUCCCUUGAACCUGGGAGGUGGAGUUUGCAGUGAGCUGAGAUGGCGCCACUGCACUCUAGUCUGGGUGACAGAGCGAGACUCUGUCUCAAAAAAAAAAAAAAGUGUAAUAAAAUACACAUAGCAUAAAUGUAUCAUUUUAACCCCCUGUCUCCCAGGCUGGAGUGCAGUGGUACGAUCUCAGCCCAGUGCAAUCUCCACCUCCCAGGUUCAAGGGAUUCUCCUGCCUCA
Molecule: signal recognition particle RNA, 287 nt
Filed under: Colobus angolensis palliatus
Lineage: Eukaryota; Metazoa; Chordata; Mammalia; Primates; Cercopithecidae
Description: Metazoan signal recognition particle RNA (ENSCANG00000001339.1)
Rfam family: Metazoan signal recognition particle RNA
About the family: The signal recognition particle (SRP) is a universally conserved ribonucleoprotein. It is involved in the co-translational targeting of proteins to membranes. The eukaryotic SRP consists of a 300-nucleotide 7S RNA and six proteins: SRPs 72, 68, 54, 19, 14, and 9.
Source: RNAcentral